CAGCAGCCGCGGUAAUACGUAGGUGGCAAGCGUUGUCCGGAAUUAUUGGGCGUAAAGCGAGCGCAGGCGGUUAGAUAAGUCUGAAGUUAAAGGCUGUGGCUUAACCAUAGUACGCUUUGGAAACUGUUUAACUUGAGUGCAAGAGGGGAGAGUGGAAUUCCAUGUGUAGCGGUGAAAUGCGUAGAUAUAUGGAGGAACACCGGUGGCGAAAGCGGCUCUCUGACUUGUAACUGACGCUGAGGCUCGAAAGCGUGGGGAGCAAACAGAAUUAGAGACCCCAGUAGUCCCUGUCUCUUAUACA
Molecule: ribosomal RNA, 301 nt
Filed under: uncultured bacterium
Lineage: Bacteria
Description: partial 16S ribosomal RNA
Rfam family: Bacterial small subunit ribosomal RNA
Source: RNAcentral